Molecule: long non-coding RNA, 903 nt
Organism: Panthera uncia (snow leopard)
Lineage: Eukaryota; Metazoa; Chordata; Mammalia; Carnivora; Felidae
Exons: 6
Source: RefSeq, a predicted model, not a curated record
ACCUCGGGCGGGAGUGGGAAAAAACGGAUAGCACAAAGACCCGAUGGCGGAGCCACGUGUGUGAAAGUGCCUGGGCGCCGAACACUUUUUUCCCGUUACACCAUAGCGACUUUGCAAAUGGAUAGGCGUCGAUGCUCCGACUCCCAGUGGGACCCGGAAGAUUGCCGCAGGUGCCACAGGCCUCCUGGAGUUCUGCCUGGCGCACAGAGGCCAAACACCACACUUGCAGAUUUCGCCUGAAGGCCGGUGGAAAAGACAAUCUGGCUGUAGGAGGUGACAAGGAGAAGGGAAAUGAGAAAUAAAUGAGUAGGAGAAAGAAGAAGAAGGAAGACAGGGAGGAAGUGGAAGGAGGUGGGAGGCAAGGAAUACCACGCAUAAAAGUCAUGGGGACAGUGACUGCUUCCUGGAGGAACAGGGUGAUAAGCAUUGCUCCCUGGUCCCAGGACAACCCAUCCCCAUUCCUGUCCUUGUACACAAGGAAGACGUCUCUGGUGAUUUGGAAGAUUCUGAUACAUAGAUCAACAAUAGUUCAUCACAGAGGCCCCACUGAGACCCAGUCUGAGCUGCCUGUUGCUGCAAGACCCCAACCUUCAAGCAAGUGUGGUGCCCACAGAAGCCCCUUGUGCCUUGCUGCUUGCAGCUUGUCCAGUCCCUGAUGCCAUGAUGAUGAUUUGGAUCUCCACGGCCAACUCUGGACUAGCUGAUUUGAACAAAAUCAUUCAUUUGAGAAGCAUCUUAGAAAAAGGAAGGACCCUAAUUGGCAAUACGUUUUGGUUGCUAUGUUGAGACCUCCAAGGGAAAUUCUGAAUCAAAAACGGUCUCACUGAAAGAUUGUUUGGACAAAGCUAAUGAACAAUUUGACAUACCUAAACAAGAAUAAAGUAGAAAAACCUCUUUAGUAAA